RNAcentral lists this microRNA precursor (165 nucleotides) under Asparagus officinalis (garden asparagus). RNAcentral describes it as "miR12145 stem-loop (aof-MIR12145)". Lineage: Eukaryota; Viridiplantae; Streptophyta; Magnoliopsida; Asparagales; Asparagaceae. The record is from miRBase by way of RNAcentral.
GGAAACAAGAAGAGAAGUCGGUCUAAAUGCUCAAAAAAGCUUAUGUCAGUAGUUUCAUUGGAAAUGUCAUGUUUGUAAUUGUAAUUGUUUAUAUACCUGUCAAUAGUUUACUUUGACUUACUGGAAAUAAAGUUUGUUUUUUGGGAUAUUUUCUAUGUGUGUCUC